CAAUGUGUUUUAAUCCUGUUUCACCUGAUUUUUUUUUGUAAUAAAAUCCACUCAUUAUGCCUGAGAACAGCAUUUAUUCUAUGUAGAGCAUUACAGUAGUACCAUGUAUGUCAGUAUAGUGAAAAGUGAAAUUAUGUUGUUAACAAUAUUAUUACAACUAGGUACUCCCAGUGAGCAUAGAAGGUUGCACAUUGUGCUGGUUUGCCGUUGUAUGUUAUCCAUUGAUCAGAGGUAAUAACGAUCAGCGCCUUUGAUCAUUGAUUUGGUUUGGAACUGGCGCUUUUAUAAAAAAAUAAAAAAUAUUAAUAUUAGUAUCAUGUCCAAGUCCAUUAUUGCUAUCGUUACCGUUGUUGCUGUCAUUAGUGUUAUUAUUAUUGCUAUCGUUAUUACAAUCACCUUUAAUUAAGAAUAUCGUUAUUAUUAUUGUUGAAUUGAUUUAAUAAAAAACACCAUGAUUUUUAAUCAUCAUUAAACAUUAUUAAAUAUUGUUUGUAACUAAUAAUUGAGCUGUAAUCAGUAUGUAACCGAAAAUAUGAUGCUCCUUUUACAUGCAUAUAAUUUUAUUGCGAUCAAUAUUUUAUGUGAAAUAGGUAUUGUGUGAACAGGAUAAAUGGCGUGAAAUUAAUUAUUAAAGUUAAACAUUCUUUGUAUGGAAUCAAUCGUCAUACACCGAUAAUAGAUAUGAUUUUCACGACCUUUUUUUUAUUCAAUACUCGUCAUGUGGUCAAUCACGAUAUUCAUUUCGAAUGAUAUUCGAUAACUCAUGAGGUGUAUAUUGAUGUUUGAGGUCACGGACCCCGUUUACGAUGGACGUGCGAUGUAACUGGCGGUCAAAAGUACAAAACAUCUUACCAACCAGCAAUACAAUUGGCAACACUCAAUAUGUUUUUCGAUGAACUUAGCACCUUACAAAAACUGACAAAAGUCAACUAUUCAUUUCACAACACAGGGAGCACCGAACUAUUUUAACCUACCAUCUUGAAUAAAUCAAUGUCGUAAAUUUAUGUACAGUCAUUGUGCCAGUGUGCUAAAAAGUAAUGAAACUAUUUUUGUAUGCAUGAUUAAAUAUUUUUUUGAGUUUGUUAAGCUAAUAAAUAUUUCGAAAAUUAUAAAAGAAAAGGAAUAUA
Anneissia japonica is the source of this 1127-nucleotide long non-coding RNA. RefSeq lists it as uncharacterized. NCBI's taxonomy places the organism in Eukaryota, Metazoa, Echinodermata, Crinoidea, Comatulida, Comatulidae. The record is from RefSeq and is a predicted model, not a curated record. The transcript has 2 exons.